UGAGGAAUAUUGGUCAAUGGGCGCAAGCCUGAACCAGCCAUCCCGCGUGAAGGAUGAAGGCCCUAUGGGUCGUAAACUUCUUUUAUACACCAAGAAAAAGCAGGACGUGUCCUGCCCCGACGGUAGUGUAUGAAUAAGCAUCGGCUAACUCCGUGCCAGCAGCCGCGGUACUACGGAGGAUGCAAGCGUUAUCCGGAUUCAUUGGGUGUAAAGGGUGCGUAGGCGGCUUUUUAAGUCAGUGGUGAAAUCUUGCCGCUUAACGGUAAAAUUGCCAUUGAUACUGAUAAGCUUGAGUACAAGUGAGGUAAGCGGAAUGUGUAGUGUAGCGGUGAAAUGCUUAGAUAUUACACAGAACACCGAUUGCGAAGGCAGCUUACUAAACUGUCACUGACGCUGAUGCACGAAAGCGUGGGGAGCGAACA
This 422-nucleotide ribosomal RNA is filed under the name uncultured prokaryote. RNAcentral's name for it is "bacterial SSU rRNA". It matches the Rfam family "Bacterial small subunit ribosomal RNA", at positions 355 to 774 of the family's 1533-position model. The record is from RNAcentral.